Molecule: ribosomal RNA, 330 nt
Filed under: uncultured eukaryote
Lineage: Eukaryota
Description: partial 18S ribosomal RNA
Rfam family: Eukaryotic small subunit ribosomal RNA
Source: RNAcentral
CCCUUAGACGUUCUGGGCCGCACGCGCGCUACACUGACCAGUGCAACAAGCAUCCGUCCUUGGCCGACAGGCUCGGGCAAUCUUUGAACGCUGGUCGUGAUGGGGAUAGACUUUUGCAAUUUUUGGUCUUCAACGAGGAAUGCCUAGUAAGCGCGAAUCAUCAGUUCGCGUUGAUUACGUCCCUGCCCUUUGUACACACCGCCCGUCGCUCCUACCGAUUGAAUGGUCCGGUGAAAAUUUCGGAUACCGGCAUUGCUGGCGGUUCGCCGCCGGCGACGCUGGUAGAAGAUCUUUAAACCUUAUCAUUUAGAGGAAGGAGAAGUCGUAACA